RNAcentral lists this ribosomal RNA (253 nucleotides) under uncultured bacterium. RNAcentral describes it as "partial 16S ribosomal RNA". It matches the Rfam family "Bacterial small subunit ribosomal RNA", at positions 524 to 776 of the family's 1533-position model. The record is from RNAcentral.
UACGUAGGGUGCAAGCGUUGUCCGGAAUUAUUGGGCGUAAAGAGCUCGUAGGCGGUCUGUCGCGUCUGGUGUGAAAAUCCAGGGCUUAACCCUGGACCUGCAUCGGGUACGGGCAGACUAGAGGUAGGCAGGGGAGAACGGAAUUCCUGGUGUAGCGGUGAAAUGCGCAGAUAUCGAGAGGAACACCUGCGGCGAAGGCGGGUUGCUGGGCCGACACUGACGCUGAUGCGCGAAAGCCAGGGGAGCGAACGGG